Molecule: long non-coding RNA, 555 nt
Filed under: Rhinopithecus bieti (black snub-nosed monkey)
Lineage: Eukaryota; Metazoa; Chordata; Mammalia; Primates; Cercopithecidae
Description: lncRNA (ENSRBIG00000046812.1)
Source: RNAcentral
GGAGACGUCAUAAACAGUGGGAUCAGCUUGGUAAGCUUGUGUGAUUAAUACUAUGUUUCACUUUUUCAGCUGCUUAGGAUCAAAAAGAAAAAAAAUAAAGGUUACAAAAAAUCCAUAUCAAGCCUAACAUAGGAUUGGAAACACAGCAAUGAUUGGAACAAAUUAGAACCACAUUUUCAUCAUCUGACUCCAACAACCAAAGGAAACACCCUUUCCUUCUUUGGGAGCUGUAGCUCUCUGGAGUUUUGGGAAGCCCAAAGGUGGAGACCACGUGGCCUCCAGGAAUUCAGACCUGGCUUCUGAGCUGUGGCACAGCAGAAGAAAGGCAGCCAACACAGGAUCUGAAACAGCCCGAGGGGCCUUCCCUCAUUAGCUCUUUGAUACCCAGUGAAGUCACUCUGUUUUUACAACAUCUUAUUCUCUUUUUACUUGUAGUACUGAACUCUGGAGGUAAUGAGAUGCCAUUGUAACUUUCUCUCUCUCCCCGCUAUUUAAAUGUGCAUUCUGUGAAGGUGUUUUUUACCUACCUAGGAGGGUUUCGAUGGGGAAGAUCCC